UACGAAGGGGGCUAGCGUUGUUCGGAAUUACUGGGCGUAAAGCGCGCGCAGGUGGGUGAACAAGUCGGAAGUGAAAUCUUGAGGCUCAACCUCGAGGCUGCUCCCGAAACUGUUCGCCUAGGGACUGGUAGAGGGAUGUGGAAUACCCGGUGGAGCGGUGAAAUGCGUAGAGAUCGGGUGGAACACCAGGGGCGAAGGCGGGUCUCUGGGCAGUAACUGACGCUGAGGAGCGAAAGCGUGGGUAGCGAACAGG
RNAcentral lists this ribosomal RNA (253 nucleotides) under uncultured bacterium. RNAcentral's name for it is "partial 16S ribosomal RNA". It matches the Rfam family "Bacterial small subunit ribosomal RNA", at positions 524 to 776 of the family's 1533-position model. The record is from RNAcentral.